UACGAAGGGGGCUAGCGUUGCUCGGAAUCACUGGGCGUAAAGGGUGCGUAGGCGGGUCUUUAAGUCAGGGGUGAAAUCCUGGAGCUCAACUCCAGAACUGCCUUUGAUACUGAGGAUCUUGAGUUCGGGAGAGGUGAGUGGAACUGCGAGUGUAGAGGUGAAAUUCGUAGAUAUUCGCAAGAACACCAGUGGCGAAGGCGGCUCACUGGGUCAUUACUGACGCUGAGGCACGAAAGCGUGGGGAGCAAACAGG
This 253-nucleotide ribosomal RNA is filed under the name uncultured bacterium. Its description in RNAcentral is "partial 16S ribosomal RNA". It matches the Rfam family "Bacterial small subunit ribosomal RNA", at positions 524 to 776 of the family's 1533-position model. The record is from RNAcentral.